RNAcentral lists this long non-coding RNA (1170 nucleotides) under Callithrix jacchus (white-tufted-ear marmoset). RNAcentral's name for it is "lncRNA (ENSCJAG00000084733.1)". The record is from RNAcentral. Lineage: Eukaryota; Metazoa; Chordata; Mammalia; Primates; Cebidae.
GGAACAUGGAUGGAGCAGGAGGCCAUUAUCCUCACACUAACACAGGAGCAGGAAACCAAAUUCUGCAUGUUCUCAUUUGUAAUUGGGAGCUAAAUGAUGGGAACACGUGGACACAUAGAGAUAUUCUUCGGCAACCAUUUCUGUAGCCACCCACCUCAUGAUACAGCAGCAGACUCAAGCCCCACAGCUGGAAGAACACAUGCUGGGCCAUGACUAUAUGUGAUAAACACAGAAGAGUGUUUUGGGAAAGGAGGAAGGUAAAAGCUAAGAAACAUAGAAACAAUGGCUUGAGAUAGUUUCAAGAGAAUAGUCUCGCCAAGGGAAUAACUUGGAGAACUUUGCCAACAAUUGAUAGUCAGAAGUUAAGACUAAUCUGUGAACUUUUAGAGAUUUUGUCCUUGAGAAGAACAGAACUGAAACAUAAAAUGGACAACCAGACCAUGUUGUGUCCACCCAAAAGAUGAGAAUGAGACCUCUUUAUUCCACCUUGUAUUACCCCUUCUUCAGAAGUGCUAAGUCUAUGCAACUAUAAGGCCCCAGAUUUUUUAUGGCACCAGAUGCUGACUUUGAUGUGCCUACAUUUUAAGUAGUUUCCAUAACUCUGUAACCACAUCAGUUGACACUUGGCCCUUUUACCUGGCCAAACCAACCCUAUAAACCCAUGCUCUAUCCACGUUCCAGAUGCACUGAAAUUUUCUCUAGUUGUUUAAUUAUACCUUGUUAAUUAAUUAUACCUUGGUUUUUGUUUUGUAAUCUUUUGUAUUUCGAUAAUAGCCAUUCUAAAACUGGAGUGAGGUGAUGGGUCACUGCAGUUUUAAUUCUCAUUUCCCUGAUGAUUAAUGAUGGUGAGCAUUUUUUCAUACACCUAUUCACCACUUGUACAUUUUCUUUUGAGAAAUAUAUAUUCAUGUCUUUUCCCAUUUAAAAAUUUUGAUAAUUUGUAGAAUUUUUUUGUUAUAGAGUUACUUGAGUUCCUUAUAUAUUCUGAUUAUUUGCAACUUGUCAAAUGUAUAGUUUUCAAAUAUUUUCUCCCAUUCUGUGGGUUGUCUUUUCACUCCAUUGAUUAUGUCCUUUGCUGCAUGGAAGCUUUUUAGUUUGAUGUAAUUGUAUUUAUUUAUUUUUGCUUUCGUUGUUUAUGCUUUUUGAGGUCUUAUUCAAAAAUCCUUCCCC